AUGUGUUGGAACUUGGGAAGCAGGUGCUUGAUCCUCUCCCUCAAAGGCUUCCAACAGCAUGAGCUAGUUUUAGUGUCUCAAAUAUUGUCUGUUGAGGCUAGCUCCUGUUCAGAUCUGUUAGAAGCCUCUGUGGGAGAGGAGCAAUCAGCUGCUGAGUGGCACCUCUGAUC
This 170-nucleotide microRNA precursor is filed under the name Physcomitrium patens. RNAcentral's name for it is "Physcomitrella patens miR477b stem-loop (ppt-MIR477b)". Its record names the gene ppt-MIR477b. Lineage: Eukaryota; Viridiplantae; Streptophyta; Bryopsida; Funariales; Funariaceae. The record is from miRBase by way of RNAcentral.